GAAGUAAGGAACCCAAAAGUAGGCUUCUAACUUAACUUUUAAGCAAUGGAAUUUGUUUUUACUUCU
Molecule: transfer RNA, 66 nt
Filed under: Laotzeus sp. BMNH 846624
Lineage: Eukaryota; Metazoa; Arthropoda; Insecta; Coleoptera; Chrysomelidae
Description: tRNA-Ser
Source: RNAcentral